Molecule: ribosomal RNA, 260 nt
Filed under: uncultured Glomeromycotina
Lineage: Eukaryota; Fungi; Glomeromycota
Description: partial 18S ribosomal RNA
Rfam family: Eukaryotic small subunit ribosomal RNA
Source: RNAcentral
AAGCUCGUAGUUGAAUUUCGGGAUUCACCCAUUGGUCAGGCUUAAUUGUCUGUACUGGUGAGAUAAAUCUCUACCUUCUGAGGAGCUUUCAUGCCAUUUAUUCGGUGUGAUUGGAAAUCAGGACUAUUACUUUGAAAAAAUUAGAGUGUUUAAAGCAGGCUAACGUCUGAAUAUAUUAGCAUGGAAUAAUGAAAUAGGACGGCUUGGUUCUAUUUCGUUGGUUUCUAGGAUCACCGUAAUGAUUAAUAGGGAUAGUUGGG